RNAcentral lists this ribosomal RNA (771 nucleotides) under uncultured Actinomycetes bacterium. Its description in RNAcentral is "bacterial SSU rRNA". It matches the Rfam family "Bacterial small subunit ribosomal RNA", at positions 145 to 930 of the family's 1533-position model. Lineage: Bacteria; Bacillati; Actinomycetota; Actinomycetes. The record is from RNAcentral.
AACUCCGGGAAACCGGGGCUAAUACCGGAUAUGAAACUUGGUGGCAUCACCGAGUUUGGAAAGUUUUUCGGUAGAAGAUGACCUCGCGGCCUAUCAGCUUGUUGGUGAGGUAAUGGCUCACCAAGGCGACGACGGGUAGCCGGCCUGAGAGGGCGACCGGCCACACUGGGACUGAGACACGGCCCAGACUCCUACGGGAGGCAGCAGUGGGGAAUAUUGGGCAAUGGAGGAAACUCUGACCCAGCGACGCCGCGUGCGGGAUGAAGGCCUUCGGGUUGUAAACCGCUUUCAGUAGGGAAGAAGCGAAAGUGACGGUACCUACAGAAGAAGCACCGGCUAACUAUGUGCCAGCAGCCGCGGUAAUACAUAGGGUGCAAGCGUUGUCCGGAAUUAUUGGGCGUAAAGAGCUCGUAGGUGGUUCGUUACGUCGGAUGUGAAAAUCUGGGGCUCAACCCCAGACCUGCAUCCGAUACGGUCGAGCUAGAGUUUGGUAGGGGAGACUGGAAUUCCUGGUGUAGCGGUGGAAUGCGCAGAUAUCAGGAGGAACACCAAUGGCGAAGGCAGGUCUCUGGGCCAAUACUGACACUGAGGAGCGAAAGCGUGGGGAGCGAACAGGAUUAGAUACCCUGGUAGUCCACGCCGUAAACGGUGGGCGCUAGUUGUGGGAACCUUCCACGGUUUCUGCGACGCAGCUAACGCAUUAAGCGCCCCGCCUGUGGAGUACGAUCGCAAGAUUUAAACUCAAAGGAAUUGACGGGGGCCCGCACAAGC